GAUGAACGCUGGCGGCGUGCCUAAUACAUGCAAGUCGAGCGAACAGACGAGGUUCUUGUUGCUCUGACGUUAGCGGCGGAUGGGGGAGUAACACGUGGAUAACCUACCUAUAAGACUGGGAUAACUUCGGGAAACCGGAGCUAAUACCUGAUAAUAGAUUGAACCGCAUGGUUCAAUAGGUAAAGGCGGUUUUGCUGUCACUGAUAGAUGGAUCCGCGCCGCAUUAGCUAGUUGGUAAGGUAACGGCUUACCAAGGCAACGAUGCGUAGCCGACCUGAGAGGGUGAUCGGCCACACUGGAACUGAGACACGGUCCAGACUCCUACGGGAGGCAGCAGUAGGGAAUCUUCCGCAAUGGGCGAAAGCCUGACGGAGCAACGCCGCGUGAGUGAUGAAGGUCUUCGGAUCGUAAAACUCUGUUAUUAGGGAAGAACAAAUGUGUAAGUAACUAUGCACGUCUUGACGGUACCUAAUCAGAAAGCCACGGCUAACUACGUG
Molecule: ribosomal RNA, 497 nt
Filed under: uncultured bacterium
Lineage: Bacteria
Description: partial 16S ribosomal RNA
Rfam family: Bacterial small subunit ribosomal RNA
Source: RNAcentral